RNA transcript from Cheilinus undulatus (humphead wrasse), 6216 nucleotides. It is a transcript of the gene named gastrula zinc finger protein XlCGF57.1-like, with no coding region annotated. The record is from RefSeq and is a predicted model, not a curated record. Lineage: Eukaryota; Metazoa; Chordata; Actinopteri; Labriformes; Labridae. The transcript is spliced from 4 exons.
UUAGCGCUAAGUUAUCAUGUGUGGCUGUGCUAACGUUGUAGGUUAGCAGAAUAAUCUUUUUAAACCAUCUUUUUUCAUGUUUUCUUUUCCUCCUCAGACUCUCAGAGGUCUGAAGAUGUCCGGGUUUAAAGAUCCAGCCUCUGCGGUUCUCAGAAACCCGGGACCAGCACCAAGAUCUGAAUACGGAGGGGAGCUCCAGCACCAACGAAACCUGCUGGAUGUGGUUUUAACACCUGAGAUGAAGCUGCACAGAGCAGUGCUUCCUGCAGGCGCUGAACAGCUGUCAGUGAUUAAAGAAGAGAGCCCCCAGAGGGACACUGGGCCACCACAUAUUAAAAAGGAACAGGAGGAACUGUGGAGCAGUCAGAAGGAAGAGCAGUUUCAAGGACUAGAAGAGGCUGACACCACCAUGUUUCCAUUCAAAAUUGUCAUUAUAAAGAAUGAAGAUGAUGUGGAGAAACCUCAGUGCUCACAGCUUCAUGAGAGACAAACUGAACAGAUGGAAGCAGGAGCUGACAGAGAGGACUGUGGAGGAGCAGAACCAGGCAGGACCUCAGAUCCAGAGACACAUUUACAACCAGAGAUAGAGGUCAAGAUUGAAGACUCUUCUGGAGCAGAGACUGAGGACAGUGAUGGAUGGAGAGAGACCAGAGAACAUCAGUUGGGCUCAAACUCUGUGGAAAAUAUUACAAAUGAGAGCUCAGGGAAUGAGAAAUCACACAGCUGCUCUGAGUGUGGUAAAACAUUCCAAACAAAACAGGGUCUUACACAACACAUGAGAACUCACAAAGGAGAGAAACCCUUUAGCUGCCCUGUGUGUUGUAAAGAAUUCACACAUAAAUGUUAUAUGAACUAUCACAUGAAAAGUCAUAAGAAUGACAAACCCUUCAUCUGCUCUGAUUGUGGUAAAACUUUCAAAAGGAAACAUCAUCUAAGUGAGCACAAACGAAUUCACACUGGAGGGAAACCCUUCAGCUGCUCUCAAUGUGAUAAAACAUUUAACUGGAAACAUCAUCUGAGAGACCAUAACAGAACUCAUACAGGAGAGAAACCUUUCAGCUGCCCUGAGUGUGAUAGAACGUUUAAGAGGAAAAGUCACCUGAGAGACCACAAAAAAACUCACACAGGAGAGAAACCCUUUAGCUGCACUGUUUGCAGUAAGAAGUUUUCACAGAGAUAUUAUAUGGACUCACAUAUGAGAACACACACAGGAGAAAAACCAUUCAGCUGCUCUGAUUGUGGCAAGACAUUCAAUAGGAAACAAUAUCUAAGAGACCACAAGCGAAUUCACACAGGAGAGAAACCCUUCGGCUGCUCUCAUUGUGGUAGAACAUUUAAGUGGAAACAUCAUCUGACAGACCAUGAGCGAAUUCACACAGGAGAGAAACCCUUUGGUUGCACUGAGUGUGGCAAAACAUUUAAAACAAAUCACACUUUGACUAAACACAUGAGAAUUCACACAGGAGUGAGACCCUUCAGUUGCUCUAUUUGCUCAAAAACAUUUACACAGAAAGGAAAUUUGGAUUCUCACUUGAGAGUUCACAGCGGUGACAGACCUUUCAGCUGCUCAGUGUGUGAAAAAACAUUCCAAUGCAAUAAUGAUUUGAACAGGCACAUGAGAAUUCACACUGGAGAGAGACCCUUCUGUUGCUCUUUGUGCAGCAAAAGGUUUAGGCAUCACUUUCUCCUGACCCUUCACAUGGCUCAUCAUAGAGGUGAGACACCCUACAGCUGCAGUGAUUGUAAUCAGACUUUUGCUUGGCGAUAUCAGGCAAAAAAUCACAAGUGUGAUGGAGGUCAGGGGUCAAAUACUCAUCAAGACCAGACUGAGGAGAAAAGAGAGGCAGAAACAGGAGCUGAUGGAGAGGACUGUGGACAACAUUUACAACCACUGACUGAGGAUAAGACCAAAGACUCUUCUGGAGCUGAUACUGAAGACAGUGAGGACGAUUAGGAGACCAAAGAAGAUUAUUCCUGCAUGCACCUCCUACUCCUGGCCUGUGGGGGCAGAGUUCAGCCUACCGGCGCGUCAUGAGGAGCAGAAGAAGAGGAGGAGGAGGAGAGGAGGAGGAAGAAGAGGAAGUGUUCACGGCCUCGCCGCUAAAGCUCAGUUAGCAUGUGUGGCUAUGCUAACGUUAUAGGUUAGUAGAUUAAUGUUACGGAAGCUGAAAGAGUUCAGUUUUCUUUCCUUCUCAGACUCUGAAGAUGUCCGGGUGUAAAGAUCCAGCCUCUGCGGUUCUCAGAGACCCGGGAGGACCAGCACCAAGAUCUGAACACGGAGAGGAGCUCCAGCACCAAAGAAAGCUGCUGGAUGUGGUUUUAACACCUGAGAUGAAGCUGCACAGAGCAGAUGACCACCAGCCAUUGGUGGGUAAAGAGGAGCAGCAGGAGAGGAGUCCAAGUCUGGACCAGGAAUACUCUGAGCCCCUAUGCAUUAAAGAGGAACAGGAGGAACUGUGGAGCAGUCAGGAAGGAGAGACGCUUCGAGGACUAGAGGCUGCUGACACCAACAUGUUUCCCUUCACUCUUGUCACUGUAAAGACUGAAGAUGAUGAAGAGAAACCUCAGUGCUCACAGCUUCACACACAGUUUGAACAGAUGGAAACAGGAGCUGAUGGAGAGGACUGUGGAGGAGCAGGAGCAGCCAGGACCUCAGCUCUAGAGAGACAUUUAAAGCCAGAGAUUGAUAUCAAGACUGAAGACUCCUCUGGAGCUGAGACUGAUGACAGUGAAGACUGGGCAGAGACCAGAGAUGAUCAGUCAGAUUCAAAUACUGUAACAAACGUGAAAAAUAGAAGACAAAAGACUGAUAAAACAUCAUACAGCUGCUCUGAGUGUGGAAAAACAUUUAAUGAAAAGCGUUACCUGUCAGCUCACAUGGCACGUCACACUGGUGAGAAAUGCUACAGCUGCUCUGAGUGUGGUAAAAGAUUCAGCCAGAAGCGUUACCUGUCAGCUCACGUGGCACGUCACACUGGAGAAAGCUGCUACAACUGUGCUGAGUGUGAUAAAACAUUCAAAACUAAACAGAAUCUGAACAACCACCUGGUGAUGCACAUGGCAGAGAGACCUUUCUCCUGCUCAGUGUGUGGUAAAAGAUUCAGUCAAAAGCGUUAUUUGGCAACUCACAUGGCACGCCAUAAGGAGGAGAAAUGCCACAGCUGCACGGUCUGUCACAAAAGAUUUAUUUGGCUUUGGCAGUUAAAAAAACAUAAGUGUGUUGGAGGUCAGUCUUCAGAAAAGCAAUCACAGAGCUGCUCUGAGUGUGGGAAAAGUUUCAAACAUAGAGAGGACUGUGGAGGAACAGAACCAGACAGGAAUUCAGAUCCAGAGAGACAUUUACAACCAGAGACUCAGAUUAAAAAGGAAGACUCCUUAGAGUCUGAGAAUGAUGACAGUGACGACUGGAGGGAGAUGUCAGAGUUACAUUCAGAGAACAAUCAAAGUUUGACAAGUAAGAAAACCCACAGCUGCUCUGAAUGUGGUAAAACAUUCAAAAUAAAACAGCAUUUGACACAACACCUGAGGAUCCACACAGGAGAGAAACCCUUCAGUUGCUCUUUUUGCAGUAAAAGAUUUAAACAAAAGGCCCAUCUGAAUGAACAUGUACGAAUUCACAUAGGAGAGAAACCCUUCAGCUGCUCUGUUUGUGGUAAAAGCUUCACUUUAAAAGGACAGCUAACAACCCACAUGCUAGUUCAUGGAGGAGAGAAACCCUUUAUAUGCUCUAUAUGCAGUAAGAGAUUUACCCUAAAAGGGCAGUUAACAACACACAUGUUAGUUCAUACUGGAGAGAAACCCUUCAGCUGCUCUGUUUGCAGUAAGAGAUUUACCCUGAAAGGACAGAUGACAACACACAUGUUGGUUCACACAGGAGAGAAACCCUUCUGCUGCUCUGAGUGUGGUAAAAGAUUCAGCCAAAAGGGUAAUCUGUCAGCUCACAUGGCACGUCACAAGGGGGUGAAACGCCACCGCUGCUCUGUUUGUCGCCAAAGAUUCUUUUGGCAUUCUCAGUUAAAAAUGCACAAGUGUGGUGGAGGUGGGGCUUCAGAGCACCAUGAAGACCAAACAGAUGAGGAAUUAGAGGCAGAAACAGGAAUCGAUGAAGAGGACUGGGGAGGGGGGGAACCGACCACAUACUUAAAUCUUAAACCAGACAGUGAUGAUGAGGCCAAACGAUCUGGUGAAACUGGUGAGAAUGUUGACGUUGAUUUUUGGAAAAAUACCAGACAGCAUCAUUCUGGUUUCACUUAUCAGAGAAAGAAAACAUCCUCAGUAAAUAAUGGAUGUAAUCUUGAAAAGAAUGCAUUUCUCUAUUGUUAUGAUGGUAAUAAGUCUGACCCCAGGUAAAAUAACACUCUUCAGUCUUCAGCCAGCUCCAAACUUUAUGAAACAUAAGGAAAUGUUGGUGAUACUUUAUAUUCAGAGGUAUGCAUAUGACUGACAUGACCAUUCACAGAAGGAGGCAGAAUACGAUGAAGGUUUAUGAAUGUUUUCAUUAAAGGCCAACACCAUUUGGACAAUUAUGUCACCUUUAAUGUGAAGUUAACAUUGUUUGAUCCCUUUUUGCCUCUUUGUACAGUAAGGCAAGGCUAUAGCCAGAUGUCUUAGUCUAGCACAGUGGUUUUCAAAGUGUAGGAGAGUGAGCCUUCCCUAAGAGAAAAUUAUUCCUUCGGUGGACCCCGACCCACAUAAAGAUUCAGAUUGAAAAAAAAUUAAACAACCAUAUUUUCAAACAUUUAUGUCUAAUCUUUGAAUAUUUUUAUCAUUAAUAUAUUUUUGAUAUUUUGGUCUGCAAAUGUUCUAAACAUCUGUCUUUCCUAGGCAAUUCGUUAUUUGGUUUCAGUAAUGAUUUUAUUUCCAAUACUACCUGAUUAUUAUGCUCUACGCUCUUAUUCAGUGGGAGUUUCAAGUUUUCAUCUGUACGGUUGAUGCAGGUUUGCAUAACUGCGGACCAUCCUCCACCUUCUGCCUUUCCUGGUACUCACUUUUGAUCAGUGUAAAUACCUUUCACUUCCUGUUAAAAAUUCCCCUAGUUUGGUCACUAGAAUUGUUGGUCAGUCUGAAGAUGACCCCAAAAUUUACACAGCCUUAUCCUGUCAUUAGCUUGUAUAUCUUUGCAAAUUUAACACUGUGACUUGAGCAUCGUCAGGAUCCUUGCAGGAAAAUUCUAACUUGAGUAGUUGACUCUAGUCGCUAUAGUAACAAUAAAGUCUUAUCAAUUUAGCUCCAUGCACAGCUGAACUUAGCAAAGCAAAUCACCUUUUUUCUGGUUUAUGGUUCCGCGCCUCCCCUGAAGUUCUUUGGCGCCCCCCAGUGGAGGGCCGCCUCACACUUUGAAAACCUCUGGUCUAGCAUAAAGACUGGACAGAUUCGUGGUGGGUGCGGUAAGAUCCAGUUUUAACUUACAUGACUCUCCAGGAAAGGAAAAAAGCUGCAGUGCAACCAGACAGAGUGCAAGCUACAUUGAAAACUCCCACUCUUGUUUUGGGAUGUGCAGUGGUGGUGUAGUGGGGUGUGCUCUUAAGUUAUUGUAUUAAAAGUGAUAAUUAAGCAAAUGACACUGAAUGACAUUCAUAAAUGGUGAUAAAGCCUUCCUCACGUGAAUGGCAGGUGUCAUGUCGUGAUUUUGACAGUGUCAUGCCAGGUUGAUGCAUACCCCUUCAAAAUUCAGUUAUUCAAAUGUCUAAUCAGUGAUACUCAGAGUGUGGCUCUUUUAUGUCUUCAUUUGAAAUAUUAUUCCCCCAGAAAACCUUCAUAAAGGGAAAAUUAUCCAUUGCAAGUCACAUAAAUUGAUUUGUUUCCCACUCCUACACAGUUGGCUUUAAUUAUCAACCUUUAUUUUUGUCUGUGUGUUUCCAUUGCCCUUAUUUGCAUUUUUAGCCACUUUUAAUCAAUUUUUACUGCUUUAAGCCCACUUUUGUCACUUCUUUUUGCCACUAUUAUCCAGGUUUUAUCCCUUUUCCCCCAGUUUCUGACCAUUUUAUCCUGUUAUUUUGUUAUUUUUUGCCACUUUCACCCAUCUAAGCUGCCUUUUGCCACUUUUUCCCCCAUUUUUUGCCACUCUUUGCCCAUUCUCCCACCUUUGGCUCCCUGUUGCCCAUGUUAGUCACUUUUUAUUCAUUUUUUGUCAUGCUUUUGCUACUUUUUGACCAUUUUUGCCGCCUGUAACUCAUUUUUGUGUCACUUCUCACUCAAAUUUUGCCACUUUUCUGC